Molecule: long non-coding RNA, 6232 nt
Filed under: Carica papaya (papaya)
Lineage: Eukaryota; Viridiplantae; Streptophyta; Magnoliopsida; Brassicales; Caricaceae
Description: long non-coding RNA (CPAP_LNC002625)
Source: RNAcentral
UUUUUUUGUUGUAGUUUGUCGUUAUUGUGUUUGAGAUGUUUGUUUGCUGGAAAAUUUGAAAAGCUAAAUGUAAUUUUUAUUAUAGUUUACUUGAAUUUGUGAUUGUUUUUGAGUUUGUUUAUAAUUGUAAUAGAAUUUCAACGCCUACUUGUUUUUUAAAUUUAUUGUCUUAAUUUGUUGUAAUUUCACUCGAGUUAGUUGUUUGUUUCAUUUGUUUAUAAUUGCAAAAAAAUCAAUUGGAUUUUUCUUUCAGUGUACUUAGAUUCGUAAUUGUAUUCGAGUUUUUUUGUAUUUUUAUUCCAAUUUCAGUUUCUAAUUAUAAUUUGUUUGCUUUGCAUUGUUCAUAUCGAUCUAUUAUCAUGUAGGUUUUUAGUGUUCAAAUUCAUCCUUCAACUAAGUUAUGGUAGCAUAAUUUAAAAUUAUUGUUUGAUUAGUUAGCAAAAAAAUAAAAAUAAUUGACUAAUCAGAUAAUAAAAUAAUGAGGUAAAAUUUCAUAUGAACUCACUUCCUCUAUCGCUCUGGUUCUCUUCUUCAUACACACUUUCGCUUUUUUGUCGCUCACAGACAAUAAAGCACGCCACAAGCUAUACCGAGAACCUGCCAGCGUAAGUAAGAAAGCCACUAUUCGUAGGUUUGCUACAACAAGUAAUUAUACAAAAUCAUUAAAAUAAAAAUUGAAUUUUCAUCACUUACAGCACAAUUUUAAAGAAUGGUCAGGGCCUCCUUUCUUUUGCCAGCGAUGCGAGAAUCAAGACAAACAUACCAAAACCUAGGAAAUAUAAUGUGAAAGACAAGAAGAAAAAGAUUCCUCAUAAAUGCAGUAGCUCAUAGUACCAAACCACUGUAUAAGAUUUCAGCUCCAAUAUCCUGAUUACCAAUUCAAAAAAUGCAACCUUAUUAAAAAUAUUGAAGAAACAAAAAAAUAAUCGUUGACCAAGUACUCCUGGCACUGAAGAAAAAAGAGUACCCUACAUCACUAAGUAUCUGGCAUCAAAUCAAACCACAUAUCUCCUUUUUCCCCAAAGUGGUUCAUAGAGUAGAUAUCCCCUGGAGCUCCCAAAAAAACCCUUUUAAAACUUAAUGUGAUAGAUGAUGCAGAAAUAGAUAGCGUUGUAACUCUCUCCAACUCCAUCAAAAAAAUUUAAAAAAUAAAUUAGGCUUAAAAAAAAUAAAACUAAACUAAAAAAUAUGAUAAAAGAAGGAAGACAAACCUCUUAUUCCACGGAUACCUCAUAAUCAACGUCUAAAAGAGUGCUAUCAACAAAAGAAAAUAAAACACAAGUGACACGUCUGGACCAUCUUAAACUUUUUGCCUAAAGAGUUACAGACUAACAAAAUAUAAAAAUUUUAACUACCCAAAAAGAUAAAAACACAUGCUUAUUUACUUUGAAAGUGCUCCCUAAGGUUGAUAAUAACAUUCGUUAGUCUUACAUUAAAGUAAACAUAAAGAAUAUUGUUGAGUAAAUAAUUCUAAAUAGAAAAUAUAUAUAUAUAUAUAUAUAAUAGAAAAUAAAAUUUAUAUCGUAAGCAAAGCAAAAUAAACUUUUUGUUCCACGAAUAUCUUAUAACUCAACAUGUUUCCAGCAAUGUUGCCCACAAAAGAGAACAAAAAAGAGAUAAUAUAUUAUAUAUAUAUAAAAAAUAAAAAAUAAAAUUUAUAUCGAAAGCAAAGUAAAAUAAACCUUUUGUUCCACGAAUAUAUUAUAACCCAAUAUGUUUCCAGCAGUGUUACCCACAAAAAAGAACAAAAAAGAGAUAAUAUAUUUUAUAUAUAUAUAAAAUAAAAAAUAAAAUUUAUAUCGUAAGCAAAGCAAAAUAAACCUUUUGUUCCACAAAUAUAUUAUAACCCAACAUUUUUCCAGCAGUGUUACCCACAAAAGAGAUAAUAUAUGAUUGAACUCUCUUUAACUUUUUGCCUAAAGAUCUUCAUAGUAACAAAGAAAGAAAAUUUUAACUAGUUAUAGAAAAAAAUAAUAUUGAAUACGUGUUUAUUUACCUGAUUUUUGCUGUUUGAAAUCUACAACAAUUACACAAAAGUGAGUAUAUCAAUUUAUAAAUGAUCAAGACUCUUUUAAAAUCAGAAGACAACCAAUAUCAAUUAAAUGUAACAAAUGCAAGCAUGGACGGAUAUCAAAACUUCAAAUUAAAAAAAAAAUGGACUAAAAUCAAGAAGAACAUACAUUGAAAGAAGACAAUUUUGUUGUCUUCUGCAUAACAUUAAAAACAGUCUAAGGUAUUGCUAUGUUAAUGUACAAAUAAAGAAACUCACUGACGAAAUAAUGCUAAAUUAUUUCAAUUUAUAAUUAUUUCCACUCAUGCAAAUAUUAAAACGAGAUAUUUGUUUUCAGGGCUGAUACUUGGGUUUUACUCUUUUUCCUUGUCAGUUUGUAAGAGAAGUUGUAAUUUAUUUGCGGUAAUUUGUUGUUAUUGUGUUUGAGAUGUUUGUUUGCAGGGAAAGUUGAAGAGUCAAUUGUAAUUUUUAUUUUGGUUUACUUGACAGAGUAAUUGUAUUUGAAUUUGUUUUUAAUGGUAGAUGUAAUUUUUUUGUUGUAGUUUCUCGUUAUUGUGUUUGAGAUGUUUGCUAUCUGGGAAAGUUGAAGAGCUAAAUGUAAUUUUUGUUUUGGUUUACUUGAGUUUGUGAUUGUAUUUGAGUUUAUUUGUAAUUGUCUCACAAUUUCAGUGCCUACUUAUUUUAGUUUGUUGUAAUUUCAUUCGACUUAGUUGUUUGUGUUAUUUGUUUGGAAUUGCAAAAAAAUGAAUUGGAUUUUUCUUUCGGUAUACUUGGAUUUGUUAUUGUAUUUGAGUUUAUUUGUAUUUUUAUUCUAAUUUCAGUUUCUAAUUACAAUUUGUUUGCUUUGCAUUGUUCAUAUCGAUCUAGCGUCAUAUAGAUUUUUAGUGCUCAAAUCCAUCCUUCAACUAAGUUAUGGUAGCAUAAUUUAAAAAUUAUUGUUUGAUUAGUUAGUAAAAAAUAAAAAUAAUUGACUAAUCAUAUAAUAAAAUUAUUAGGUAAAAUUUCAUAUGAACUCUCUUCCUCUGCCGUUCUAGUUCUCUUCUUCGUACACACUCUCUCCCUCUUUUAUUGCUCACAUACCGUAAAGCAUGCCGUAGGCUAUACUGAGAACCUGCCAGCGUAAGUAAGAGAGCCAGUAUUCGCAAGUUUACUACAACAAAUAAUUAUGUAAAAUCAUUAAAAUAAAAUUUGAAUUUUCAUCACUUACAACACAAUUUUAAAGAAUAGUUAGGACCUCCUUCCUUUUGCUAGCGACUAAAAUCUAUGAAAUAUAAUGUGAAAGACAAGAAGAAAGAGAUACCUCAUAAAAGACAUUAAAGUUAAUCAACAUUCAAUUCCUAAUCUUAUUUGAAAAUAGCAAUUCUAGCUAUCUAAUUUUAAAUAUAUCUCUAAGGAUGAUAUCAUAUAUUUGCCAACAACCACAACUCAUUCUGUUUACUAACCAUGAUUCAAAGGAAAAAAACCAACAGACCAUACAGAGAAAAGUAAAUUAUCUUAAAAAAAUUAUUAGCUUAUUCAAGUUACCCUAAAAAUAUUAAUUGCAUUGCAUUUCUUAAAAAUAAUAUUGAUCAACCAUUAUCUGUGAGCUAAAAGUCAAAGUUAUAACGAGUGCAUAUUAUUUUGCAAAUGGUAAACGAGUUACUUUCAAGCAACUGACGAAAUCAUUCAAUCGCAUUUUAGGAUUGAAGAUUAAGUUUAAGAAUGAUUAAAGAGAGAGAGAGAGAGAGAGAGAGAGAGAGAAGAGAUACUGAGUGUUUUAGGAAGCCACCAACCAAAAUUGAGCAAGUUCUCAGCUUCCCAUCUGUGGAUAGGUGUGGAGGAAAUAUAUCAGGAUGAUCACUGAAUAGUGAAGGGAACAUUUCAUCAUACUGAAGAUGCAAAUGUUGCAACAAUUGAAAAAAUAAAUGAGAAGUAUGCAACAUAGAUAAUAAAAUAAUGAGAUAAAAUUUUAUACCCACUUUCUUCCUCUGUUGCUCUGGUUCUCUUCUUCGUACACACUCUCUCUCUUUUGUCGCUCAAAGAUCGUAAAACAUGCAGCAGACUAUACUGAGAACUUGUUAGCAUAAGUAAGAGAGCCAGUAGUCUCAUGUUUGCUACAACAAAUCAACAUGCAAAAUCAUUAAAAUGAAAAUUUAAUUUUCAUCACUUACAGUGCAAUUUUAAAGAAUGCUCAGGAUCUCCAUUCUCUUGCCAACGAGCGAGAAAAAAGACAAACAUAUCAAAACCCAAAAAAAUAUAAUGUGAAAGACAAGAAAAAAGAAAUACCACAUAAAACACAGUAGUUCUUCGUACCAAUUCAGUAAAUGCAACCUUAUUAAAAAAAUUAAAGAAUCAAAAGAAACUACUGACCACUCCUGCAACCGAAGAAAACAAGUUUCCGCCGUCACUAGUAUCUGCCAUCAAAUCGAACCAUAGAUCUACUUUUUCACUAAAAUGAUCAUGCAGUAGAUCUCCAUGUUAAGCUCCAUCUGGUAACUUUUUAAAACUUAAUGUGAUAGAUGAUGCAGAAAUAGAUAGCGUUGUAAAUCUCUCCAAUUCCAUCAAAAAAAUAAAAAAAAAAUUAGGCUAAAAAAAGCAAAAAAAAAAAAAAAAUAGAAAAAUAUGAUAAAAGAAGGAAGACAAACCUCUUAUUCCACAGAUACCUCAUAAUUCACGUCUAAAAGAGUGCUACCAACAAAAGAAAACAAAACACAAAUGACACAUCUUGACCAUCUUAAACAUUUUUUCUAAAGAGUUACACGCUAACAAAAUAUAAAAAAUUUAUCUACCCAAAAAGAUAAAAACAUAUGCUUAUUUACCUUAAAAGUACUCACUAAGAUUGAUAAUAACCUUCGGUAGUCCUAUAUUAAAGUAAACAAAAAUAAUAUUGCUAAGUAAAUAAUUUUUUUUGGAUAAAUAUUACUAAGUAUAUAAUCCUAAAUAGAAAAGAAAAUAUGUAAUAAAAAAUAAAAUUUAUGUCAUAAGCAUAGGAAAAUAAACAUUUUAUUCCACGUAUAUCUUAUAACCCAACAAGUUUCAAACAGUGUUGCCCACAAAAGAGAACAAAACAGAGAUAAUAUAUGAUUGGUCUUUGUUCAAUAUUUUGCCUAAAAAUUUUCAUAAGAAUAAAGAAAGAAAAUUUUAACUAAUUAUAAAAAAAAACAUAAUAUUAAAUACGUAUUUAUUUACCUGAUUUUUGCCAUUUGAAAUCUACAACAACUACCCAAAACUGAGCAUAUCAAUUUAUAAAUGAUCAAGACCCUUUUACGUUUUAAUUAAAAUAAGAAGAAAACCAAUACCAAUUAAAUAUAACAUAUGUGCACAGCUUGGCAUGAUCGGAUAUCAAAACUUCAAAUUAAAAAAGAACGAUUUAAAUCAAGAAGAACAGAUAUUAAAAGAGGAUAAUUUUGUUGUCUGCUGCAUAACAUUAAAAACAGCCUCAAGUAUUGCUAUGUUAAUGUACACAUAAAGAAAUUCACUGACGAAAUAAUGCUAAAUUGUUUCAAUUUAUAAUCAUUUAACCUCACGCAAAUAUUAAAAUGAGAUAUUCUUUUUCAGGGUUGAUACUUGGGUUUUACUCUUUUUUCUUGUCAGUUUGUAAGGGUAGUUGUAAUUUUUUACCGGUACUUUGUCGUUAAUUUGUUUGAGAUUUUUGUUUGCUGGAAAAGUUGAAGAGCUAAAUGUAAUUUUUGUUUUGGUUUACUUGAGUUUGUGAUUGUAUUUGAGUUUGUUCGUAAUUGUAUUAGAAUUUGAGCGCCUACUUGUUAUAAUUUUGCUCGAGUUAGUUGUUUGUUUCAUUUGUUUGGAAUUGCAAAAAAAAUCAAUUGGAUUUUUCUUUCAGUGUACUUGGAUUUGUAACUGUAUUUGAGUUUGUUUGUAUUUUUGUUCCAAUUUUGGUUUCUAAUUAUAAUUUGUUUGCUUUGCAUUGUUCAUAUCGAUCUAUCGUCAUGUAGCUUUUUAGUAUUCAAAUCCAUCCUUCAACUAGGUUAUGGUAGCAUAAUUUGAAAAUUAUUAUUUGAUUAGUUAGUAAAAAAUAAAAAUAAUUGACUAAUCGAUCUAUCGUCAUGUAGCUUUUUAGUGUUCAAAUCCAUGUAGCUUUGUAGCUUUUUAGUGUUCAACUAAGUUAUGGUAGCAUACUUUAAAAAUUAUUAUUUGAUUAGUUAGUAAAAAAUAAAAAUAAUUGACUAAUCAGAUAAUAAAAUAAUGAGGUAAAAUUUCAUACGUUCUCGCUUCCUCUGUCGC